CAACUAGGAUGUUGGCUCAGAAGCAGCCAUACAUUCAAAGAGUGCGUAAUAGCUCACUAGUCGAGAGGUCCUGCGCCGAAAAUGUCCGGGGCUAAAUCACGACACCGAAGCUUAGGAAUCGAGAAAUUGGUAGAGGAGCAUUGACAGCGCGCCGAAGCUGUACCGGAAGGCGCAGUGGAGUGCUGUGAAGAGAGAAUGCCGGAAUGAGUAGCGAGAGUAAGGUGAGAAUCCUUACGGCCGAAUAUCCGAGGUUUCCAGAGUAAAGCUGAUCUGCUCUGGGUAAGUCGGGACCUAAGGCGAGGUCGAAAGACGUAGCUGAUGGACAACAGGUUGAAAUUCCUGUACUACGGUAUGAAAGAAAUGUGGGGACGCAUGUGGAGAGCAUGAGCCGGGAAAGGAAAGACCGGUGCAAGCGGGACAGUAGCCAUGCAGGCAAAUCCGUGUGGCAAUACGAAGACGUGACGCGGACCGAAAUAAAGUAGGGAAGCAUGUGAGCCAUGUGCCAAGAAAAGCCGCUAUAGAUCAUACCGUACCCGUACCGUAAACCGACACAGGUAGAUGAGGAGAGAAUCCUAAGGCCGACGGGAGAAGCAUUGUUAAGGAACUCGGCAAAAUGACCCCGUAACUUCGGGAGAAGGGGUGCCCACGCGAGUGGGCCGCAGAGAAUAGGCUCAAGCAACUGUUUAGCAAAAACACAGGUCUAUGCGAAACCGAAAGGUGAGGUAUAUGGGCUGACGCCUGCCCGGUGCUGGAAGGUUAAGAGGAGGAGUCAGGCAACGAAGCUCCGAAUUUAAGCCCCAGUAAACGGCGGCCGUAACUAUAACGGUCCUAAGGUAGCGAAAUUCCUUGUCGGGUAAGUUCCGACCCGCACGAAAGGCGUAAUGAUUUGAGCACUGUCUCGACAAUGCACCCGGUGAAAUUGAAGUACCAGUGAAGAUGCUGGUUACCUGCGCCAGGACGGAAAGACCCCAUGGAGCUUUACUCCAGUUUGAUACUGGGAUUCGAUACUGAAUGUACAGGAUAGGUGGGAGGCUGAGAAGCGUGGACGCCAGUCUGCGGUGAGCCGCUGUUGGGAUACCACCCUUUGAGUAUUGGAUUUCUAACCUGCGCCCGUGACCCGGGCGGGGGACAAUGUCUGACGGGGAGUUUGACUGGGGCGGUCGCCUCCGAAAGGGUAUCGGAGGCGCUCAAGGGUUCCCUCAGAAUGGUUGGAAACCAUUCGCAGAGUGCAAAGGCAGAAGGGAGCUUGACUGUGACACCGACGGGUGGAGCAGGUACGAAAGUAGGACUUAGUGAUCCGGUGGUAUGAAAGUGGGAUUGCCAUCGCUCAACGGAUAAAAGCUACCCUGGGAUAACAGGCUUAUCACUCCCAAGAGUUCACAUCGACGGAGUGGUUUGGCACCUCGAUGUCGGCUCAUCGCAUCCUGGGGCUGUAGCAGGUCCCAAGGGUUGGGCUGUUCGCCCAUUAAAGCGGUACGCGAGCUGGGUUCAGAACGUCGUGAGACAGUUCGGUCCCUAUCCGGCGCAGGCGUAGGAUAUUC
RNAcentral lists this ribosomal RNA (1541 nucleotides) under metagenome. RNAcentral's name for it is "bacterial LSU rRNA". It matches the Rfam family "Bacterial large subunit ribosomal RNA", at positions 1090 to 2663 of the family's 2925-position model. The record is from RNAcentral.